AUAUUCCAAAGGGUGCAGAUGAAGAGAUGCAUAGGGAAAGGUAUGAGGGAAGGCUCACAAAGCUUCAAUGUUCUCUCCGGCCUUGCUAUCUUCCAGGAACCUCCACAUGUUCCGUUUUCUGGAAGCUCUUCAAACUCUUUCCUCUUGGGCCUUCUAUGGAAAUUUCAUUGAAUAGGCAUGACUGAAGCAUGAACAACUGUGUACAAAUGCAAUUGGACAAAGGGGUAUAAUCUAAUAGUCACAGACUGAGUGGGAAAAUCCAGCAAGGUCUGUCGGUGGAGAUUUCAUCUUGGCCUCUGUGCAGCAUUCCUUUCUCCAUGGUAUGGCACAGGACCGCCUCUGAAAUGCAGCUCAUAUGACCUAUGAUCAAACAAGGUGAAGACACGGUCAGAAGAAUCAUCUUUGAACCAGAAAGCUGGACCUCACCAGACACUGAAUCUGGCGGUGCCUUCAUCUUGAACUUUCCAGCCUCCAAAUAGGUGAAAAAUAAAUUUCUGUUGUUUAUAAGCUAUUCUGUUUAAAUUAUUUGAUUAUUGCAGCCCAAAUAGAUGAAGCCAAAAAGUUAUAUUAGCCCC
RNAcentral lists this long non-coding RNA (575 nucleotides) under Homo sapiens (human). RNAcentral describes it as "HSALNT0271618". The record is from RNAcentral. Lineage: Eukaryota; Metazoa; Chordata; Mammalia; Primates; Hominidae.